ACCUAUUUAUAACAAAAGGUAAAAUUAAACUGUUAUUGUAUAGGAAUAAAAAAAUUAAAAUUGAAGCUAGAAAGUCUCAGUUAAAAACUAGGAUUAGAUACCCUACUAUUCUGAGGUUAAACACUAAAUACUAGAUUAGUAAUAGUUAAUUACUUUAAAGUUAAAAAAUUUGGCGGUGAUUUAAUCCCACUAGAGGAAUUUGUUUCUUAAUCGAUAAUCCACGCAAGAUCUUACUUAUUUUUGUUAAGUUAACAGUCUGUAUACCAUCAUUAUCAGGUAACUUGUGAAAAAGUUACUAAACAAGAAUUAAUUAAAAAAAUUAGAUCAAGGUGCAGCAUAUAAAUAAGUUGAAAUGAGUUACAAUAAAUUACUUUAUAACGAAAGUGUAAUGGAAGCAAUAUACUGAAGGAGGAUUCAGUUGUAUUAUAAAUUUAAUAGGUUUUAAAGAUAUUGGCUUUAGAUCAUGUACAUAUCGCCCGUCGCUUUCAU
RNAcentral lists this ribosomal RNA (489 nucleotides) under Pachygrapsus minutus. RNAcentral describes it as "partial 12S ribosomal RNA". Lineage: Eukaryota; Metazoa; Arthropoda; Malacostraca; Decapoda; Grapsidae. The record is from RNAcentral.